RNAcentral lists this ribosomal RNA (439 nucleotides) under uncultured bacterium. RNAcentral's name for it is "partial 16S ribosomal RNA". It matches the Rfam family "Bacterial small subunit ribosomal RNA", at positions 338 to 795 of the family's 1533-position model. The record is from RNAcentral.
UCUACGGGGUGCUGCAGUGAGGAAUAUUGGUCACUGGGAGAGAUCCUGAACCAGCCAAGCCGCGUGAGGGAAGACGGCCCUAUGGGUUGUAAACCUCUUUUGUCGGAGAACAAAACCCGGGACGUGUCCCGGACUGCGUGUAGCCGAAGAAAAAGCAUCGGCUAACUCCGUGCCAGCAGCCGCGGUAAUACGGAUGAUGCGAGCGUUAUCCGGAUUUCUUGGGUUUAAAGGGUGCGUGGGCGGUCCGUUAAGUCAGCGGUAAAAUUGCCGUUGAUACUGGCAUCCUUGAGUACAGUAGAGGUAGGCGGAAUUCGUGGUGUAGCGGUGAAAUGCUUAGAUAUCACGAAGAACUCCGAUUGCGAAGGCAGCCUGCUGGACUGUAACUGACGCUGAUGCUCGAAAGUGUGGGUAUCAAACAGGAUUAGAUACCCUAGUAGUC